AUCUUUUCCUUCUCCAAUCAUUCAUUCAUUCUCAAUGGAAACGAUUUCUAUCACUUCUUGUGAUAUUCUUCUUUUCAAACACUCUCCCUCUUCUUCUUCUUCUUCUUCUUCUUCUUCUUCAUCAUCAUCAUUUCAACCACAACAACAACCCCAUCAUCAUCAUUAUAACCCAAUCAUCUUCAUUACAUUUUCACAGUGAUAAACACAAAAAACACUCUUCUUUACCUUCAUUGAUGCUACACUACACUGAAAAUGCCCUCUUUCAUCAAUCACAAUCCACAUGGGAACAACUCCUAAACAGUUCAUAUAACCCAUCUCUUCAUUUCAUUUCAAAACUCUUCAAAUCUUACACAAAACAAAACAAAUUCAACGAAAUCAUCAACAUUCUUCAUUCACUAAGCUCAAAAAAAUUGACCCUUUUGCCUCAAUUUUACUCAUUAGCAAUCUCUUGUUUUGGAGCUGCAGGAAAGGUGAAAUUGAUGGAAGAAACAAUCGAUGAAAUGGUUUCAAAGGGUUUUCAAAUAGAUUCCAAAACAGGUAAUGAAAUUCUUUUGUGUUAUAGUGUUUUUGGUAGUUUGAAUGAAAUGGAAAAUGCUUAUGGAAGGUUUAAGAGAUCUAGGUUUUUGAUUGAGGAGAAUGUGAUUAGGGCUAUGUCUUAUGGUUAUCUAAAGAAGAGAAAAUUCUAUGAAUUGGGUCAGUUUGUUAGAGAUGUUGGUUUAGGUAGGAGAAAUGUAGGGAAUCUUUUGUGGAAUCUUUUGUUGCUUUCUUAUUCUGCUAAUUUUAAGAUGAAGAGUUUGCAGAGAGAGUUUGUUAGAAUGGUUGAAUUAGGGUUUCGUCCUGAUGUUACGACGUUUAAUAUCCGCGCUUUGGCGUUUUCGAGGAUGGCGUUGUUUUGGGAUCUUCAUCUUAGUAUUGACAUAUGAGAAGUGAGAAGGUUGUUUCUGAUUUGGUUACUUAUGGUUGUGUUGUCGAUGCUUACUUGGAUAGAAGGCAUGGAAGGAAUUUGGAGUUUGUUUUGAAUAAAAUGGAUGUGGAUGAUUGUCCGUGGUUGUUGACGGAUCCGUUUGUGUUUGAGGUUUUAGGUAAAGGUGACUUUCACUUGAGUUCCGAGGCAUUUAUGGAAUGCAAGACACAACAGCAUGAGUGGAGUUAUAGGGUUUUGAUAAAGAAAUAUCUUAAGAAACAGCAUCGGAUGGACCAAAUAUUUUGGAACUAAUAACUAAUUUAACAGAUUCGUUGGACACUCUCAGUGUUAUGUAGUUAAUUUGAAACAAAGUUGUUCUUAUGAAGUGUCAAGGUGGAGACAUGAUAAACAUCGUUCUAAAAGAGAACACUCCAUGCAUAUUUGUAGAAGAAUCGAACAUCAGAUGCAUUCAAUCUUGAAGAAUACUUGGUGAAAAUGAAAGACGGUACAGUUCAUUGUUUGGCAAUUUGCACAUGAAAAUCCAGGGAAUUCAUAUUCAUUUUUCCUACGCUUGUUGCUGUACCACAUGCAAGUAGGAUUGAUAUUAAGGUUCUUCAAAGAAAAUCCAUUCUCUACCUUCGUAAUCCGAACAAGUUUUAUCAAACGGUUCCGGAGCCCCUCCAAGGAGCUGUUAGUAUUUGAUGCGACUGUUUGAUGGCAACCACAAGAAUAGAGUCAAUGUUGGUGUCUGUGGAGCGCACUCAUGAAAGUUGGGCCAGAGAAAGAGAGGCCAAGAAAUUUCAGGAAAACCAAAAGAAGGAGGAGAAAUAGUUGCCGCAGGAAUUGCAUGAUGCACAGAUCAAAAGUUUGAAAGAGACAGAUUUUGGCAGCUUUAAUUUAGAAGUUUAAAAGGUAUGCUGAAGGUUAUGAUUUGAUAUGGUCUAUGGAAGUGUGCAAGAGCAUUGUGGGAGAUACAAAAGGCUUGCCGAGGUUGAAAUGCACUAAAAAUCAGAAAAGGAAAAUGUUUUAGAUGUGAUGAGAAAUGUGAGCCUAAUCAUGUUUGUUAAAAACAAACAAUAUUAAGUGAUGUUAUAGGAAGUUGUUCCGUGCUUGCUCAUCAUUGGCCCUUGGAAUCAUUGGUGGAUCUCUCAGUAAGCAACCUUUUGUGGUAUGACAAAUUGUGAAGUGAUUGAAAAGUGAGUCCAUUUUGAAGUCUCGUAAAGACUUACUUAGUUGCCUCCGGAAUAGCUUUAGAUAUAUGGAAGAUGUGUCCUCAAUCAAGGAGAAGGAAUGUUUCAUGGACCUAGGGCUGUUUCCUGAAGACCAAAGGAUCUGUGAUCCAACUUGGAUUGACAUUUGCAGUGAACUGUAUGAACUAGAUGAGGAUGGAAAUAAAGGUUCUGCAGGUAUUGGGAGAGUGAGAGAAUAGCUGCUACUUAGCAUGAGUGCAAUGGUAGCCAUGGUUGGUCGUUUAGCUACAUUGUCUUGGACACAUAGUAAGCCAAUAUGAAUGCAUCUCAUGAUUUCAUUUCUUGAACUGUUGUAUAAUAAUGGAUCUAUAAUAUUUGCAGCUGUUUCUUCCCUCCAACUUCUCCAUGCCUGCAAGUAUAUAUUUACUGUAUUUUAUAUAAUUAUUUAGCUAUUAUAUUUAGUCUAUCAGAGUACGAAUAAAAAAGGUCACACCAUUAUUACUUCUACAUGAAUGUGUAAGAGGAAUGUAAUCUUCUAAUUCCUAACUUUUACACACACCUCUACUCUAGUAUAUUAAUAAUGAGAGAUGAUAUUUUGAUACACAAGAUUGACAUGAAAAUUUUGACAACAAUUCAGAUGAGUAACAGUUCAAAUAUGUGGUUAAUUACGUUUAGUGAUAGUUAAUGAAUAUAACAAGAUGUCACAAGUUAUUAACCAUUCAUUAAACAAAAUUAACCAUGAUUUUGAACCUCAUUAAUCAUGGAUAUUUAAACACAAUCAUAGAGAAUUAUGUGGGUAGAUAGUUAAUUUGUUGUGACACUUUGUUGUAUUCAUUAUCCUUCUACUUAAUAUAAUUAACCAUAUGAUUGAAUUGUGUCGACCAUUUGAAUUAUUGUCGAAUACUGAUGCCAAGUUUCUGUGUCAAAAUAACCAAGGUAGACAGGAACGAGUCCCAGCACGUAGGAUCGUCCGCUCCUACGUGCUUCCCACACAAAAACGUGCCUCGUUCUUACCUGGGUUCGUUUUUUGCAUCUUCACAGUCAGGAACGAGUUCCUGAUACAGGAACGUAAGUUUAAAACGUGCUGGGCUUAGCUUAAGUGAUUUGGGCUUAACGGACCGGGUCGGGUCAAAAUAUAACCCGGUUUUAUAUAAAAGAUAAAACCCAGAAAAUUUUCAUUCUUCUGUUUCUUCCUCAGCCAAACCCUAAACGCGAAUGGCGGCCACUUCUCUUUUCCGGCGAAUUUCUCGCCGUCGUUCUCUCUCUACCCUCACCUAAACGUGUUUUCCGUCAUUCUCUCUCUCUACCCUCACCUAUUACUCUGUUUUCGUGUUUUCUUUCCAUACCCUUAUCAAGAAUUUCCUCCUGGCAUGGGAAUGAAUGAUGUCUUAAACUUAGAUGGGUAGUCUAGUUUCUAUGGUUUGUCCAUUUAGAAACUUAUUUUGAACUUGGUAGUUUCUUUUUGUUGUUACUUAUGAACUUGUAUUUUGAGUACUUAUGACUUAUGACUUAUUUUGAGUACUUUGAUGAUUAUGACUUAUUAAUUAAGUUUGA
Molecule: long non-coding RNA, 3648 nt
Organism: Medicago truncatula (barrel medic)
Lineage: Eukaryota; Viridiplantae; Streptophyta; Magnoliopsida; Fabales; Fabaceae
Exons: 2
Source: RefSeq, a predicted model, not a curated record